UCCAGACUCCUACGGGAGGCAGCAGUGGGGGAUAUUGCACAAUGGGGGAAACCCUGAUGCAGCGACGCCGCGUGGGUGAAGAAGUAUUUCGGUAUGUAAAGCCCUCUCAGCAGGGAAGAAAGAAGACGGUACCUGACUAAGAAGCCCCGGCUAACUACGUGCCAGCAGCCGCGGUAAUACGUAGGGGGCGAGCGUUAUCCGGAUUCACUGGGUGUAAAGGGAGCGUAGACGGCCGUGCAAGCCAGGAGUGAAAGCCCGGGGCCCAACCCCGGGACUGCUCUUGGAACUGUGCGGCUGGAGUGCGGGAGGGGCAGGCGGAAUUCCUGGUGUAGCGGUGAAAUGCGUAGAUAUUAGGAGGAACACCAGUGGCGAAGGCGGCUUACUGGACUGUAACUGACGUUGAGGCUCGAAAGCGUGGGGAGCAAACAGGAUUAGAUACCCUCGUA
Molecule: ribosomal RNA, 446 nt
Filed under: uncultured bacterium
Lineage: Bacteria
Description: bacterial SSU rRNA
Rfam family: Bacterial small subunit ribosomal RNA
Source: RNAcentral